This 24-nucleotide non-coding RNA is filed under the name Arabidopsis thaliana (thale cress). Lineage: Eukaryota; Viridiplantae; Streptophyta; Magnoliopsida; Brassicales; Brassicaceae. The record is from RNAcentral.
ACUGGCUGUAGUUUCGGGUCUGGG